RNAcentral lists this small RNA (110 nucleotides) under Paenisporosarcina sp. HGH0030. Its description in RNAcentral is "Bacillaceae-1 RNA". It matches the Rfam family "Bacillaceae-1 RNA". The record is from Rfam by way of RNAcentral. Lineage: Bacteria; Bacillati; Bacillota; Bacilli; Caryophanales; Caryophanaceae.
UUCCAGGGAACGAAGGUUAAAAACGCCUUGUCCUGCGUCUCCGGUUACUCGUUGCAAAAUGCAAUGCGAGAAAUUUUGUGGCAACACCUUCAUGACCUACUUCAUGUUGG